This 433-nucleotide ribosomal RNA is filed under the name uncultured bacterium. RNAcentral's name for it is "partial 16S ribosomal RNA". It matches the Rfam family "Bacterial small subunit ribosomal RNA", at positions 29 to 507 of the family's 1533-position model. The record is from RNAcentral.
AACGAACGCUGGCGGCAGGCCUAACACAUGCAAGUCGAGCGCGCCCUUCGGGGUGAGCGGCGGACGGGUGAGUAACGCGUGGGAACGUGCCCUUUUCUACGGAAUAGCCUCGGGAAACUGAGAGUAAUACCGUAUACGCCCUUUGGGGGAAAGAUUUAUCGGAAAAGGAUCGGCCCGCGUUGGAUUAGGUAGUUGGUGGGGUAAUGGCCUACCAAGCCGACGAUCCGUAGCUGGUUUGAGAGGAUGAUCAGCCACACUGGGACUGAGACACGGCCCAGACUCCUACGGGAGGCAGCAGUGGGGAAUCUUAGACAAUGGGGGCAACCCUGAUCGAGCCAUGCCGCGUGAGUGAUGAAGGCCUUAGGGUUGUAAAGCUCUUUCAGCUGGGAAGAUAAUGACGGUACCAGCAGAAGAAGCCCCGGCUAACUCCGUG